Etheostoma spectabile (orangethroat darter) is the source of this 108-nucleotide long non-coding RNA. RefSeq lists it as uncharacterized. The record is from RefSeq and is a predicted model, not a curated record. The transcript has 3 exons. Lineage: Eukaryota; Metazoa; Chordata; Actinopteri; Perciformes; Percidae.
AUUGCCACGUGUCAUGGAACCGUGAGCCCACCCCACCCACUAGCUUUUCCUUAACCUAACUGCGUCAAAAGGGACGCCAAUAGUUCCGACCAAGCGUGUUUAGUUAAA